RNAcentral lists this transfer RNA (70 nucleotides) under Marmota monax (woodchuck). RNAcentral describes it as "tRNA.Ala". The record is from RNAcentral. Lineage: Eukaryota; Metazoa; Chordata; Mammalia; Rodentia; Sciuridae.
GGGCUGGGGCUCAGUGGUAGUGCACUCACCUGGCACACGAGAGGCGCUGGGUUCGAUCCUCAGCACCACA